Molecule: ribosomal RNA, 253 nt
Filed under: uncultured bacterium
Lineage: Bacteria
Also listed under: 1 other name
Description: partial 16S ribosomal RNA
Rfam family: Bacterial small subunit ribosomal RNA
Source: RNAcentral
UACGUAGGGUCCGAGCGUUGUCCGGAAUUAUUGGGCGUAAAGGGCUCGUAGGCGGUUUGUUGCGUCGGGAGUGAAAACUUACAGCUUAACUGUGAGCGUGCUUCCGAUACGGGCAGACUUGAGGUAUUCAGGGGAGAACGGAAUUCCUGGUGUAGCGGUGAAAUGCGCAGAUAUCAGGAGGAACACCGGUGGCGAAGGCGGUUCUCUGGGAAUAUCCUGACGCUGAGGAGCGAAAGUGUGGGGAGCGAACAGG